CCCAGACUCCUACGGGAGGCAGCAGUGGGGAAUAUUGCACAAUGGGGGAAACCCUGAUGCAGCGACGCCGCGUGGGUGAAGGAGCACCUCGGUGCGUAAAGCCCUAUCGGCAGGGAAGAAACAGACGGUACCUGACUAAGAAGCCCCGGCUAACUACGUGCCAGCAGCCGCGGUAAUACGUAGGGGGCAAGCGUUAUCCGGAUUUACUGGGUGUAAAGGGAGCGUAGACGGUGAGACAAGUCUGAAGUGAAAGCCCGGGGCUCAACCCCGGGACUGCUUUGGAAACUGCCUGACUGGAGUGCUGGAGAGGCAAGCGGAAUUCCUAGUGUAGCGGUGAAAUGCGUAGAUAUUAGGAAGAACACCAGUGGCGAAGGCGGCUUGCUGGACAGUAACUGACGUUGAGGCUCGAAAGCGUGGGGAGCAAACAGGAUUAGAUACCCGAGUAGA
Molecule: ribosomal RNA, 447 nt
Filed under: uncultured bacterium
Lineage: Bacteria
Description: partial 16S ribosomal RNA
Rfam family: Bacterial small subunit ribosomal RNA
Source: RNAcentral